CACCAUUAUAUACGCUGAUCUACAGACUGAUUGCGUAGAAACGAUUCGAUGAAUCUGAUGCUCGAGCAGCAGGUGAACUGUUGUCUACGUGGAUGUCUACAGCUGCAUACGAGAUGGCCUAUUCGACGUUGGUAGGCAGUGCAUGUACUUGACUGUCAUCCGCCUCAUAUUGCUGGUAAGGUAUGAUCGUGCCCUGCAUCUCGUGUCACUGGCAUGAUGCAAAAAAUACGGUGUAUAUUUUGAAGCACAACCUACCAUGCUGGGCAUAAUAAACUGAAGUUCAUUAUGACUACAAAAACAAUGGAUGCGAACACUCUCAUGAAACGAAAACGUAAGGAAUUCGUAGAUCUAGUCGUGUCGCACUCUCUGACUCCAUACUUCCUGCGUCUUCAAAACGAGCAAAUGCCAUCCACGCCUUUUCUGGGUAAUGAGAAAAAAAGGAGACACUCGUUAUCCCGUGUGCUCGAUGUCAUUGAGAAGGUCAACAAGUUUCUCAACAGAGACGAUGAUUCUCUAUUCAAAGGAGGGACUUUUAUCCCUUGUGGGAGCAUCGCUGAACGAACGAAAGUAGGAGACAUUGAUGAAUUUGAUUUCCAGUAUUUGGUCACGUUGGAUGACGUCGAGGCAACAAGGAAGGUUCACCCACAGACACGGUCAAGAGAUGGACCAACCAACUUUGGCGGUAAGUGCUUCUAUGUGUUGACAAAGACUGGACUUGAUGAACGAAGGGAGACAUUAGUGGCCAGAGAUAUCCAGGACAAGUUCAUGGCUGAUGUAUGCAGGGCUGUAUUGGACAUGAAGAUUUGUUCAAAGAAGGCUGGUCCUGCAGUCAAAUUAGUUAUACCAGACGAGAAUCUUCCUUACAUCAUCAAGAUUGACUUGACAUUUGGUAUCAAAGCUAAUGUGCGGGAGCUGUUUCAAGAAAGUGAGCUAACCCCUCUUGGUGUUCGACUUCUACACCAGUCGGAACUGAAGUCUCACUUUGUCCCCUCCAUGGAUUAUUGGAAGGUUUGCUUUGUGGAAACAGAGCAGGAACUAAUGCGCAGAAUCUGUCUGUGAGGGGCCCAAAAAGAGUCUCUACGAAGAGUACCUGAACAUGUAUAGUGAAAAUUCAAACUACAUACGGGGAUCAUGCUACAGAAUUGUCAAGUGUCUUCGUGAUGAGUUUAGUGUAAAAGACGCCUAUGGCGACUGUAUUCUUCAGUCCUAUCCAUUCAAAGUAACAUUUAUGGACUUGGCGCUGAAGGACGAGGAGGAAAGAUUAGAGUGGUCAUCUCGGAAUCUCGGCAAGAAUGUCAUCCGGGUUCUCAGAGAGGUAGAAGAGCGGGGUCAGAAUCAUCGAAUUUGCAAUCUGUUUAUUCAAGAUGAUGACGUCAUGAACGAAUCUGAUCGAUCUUAUUUAGAAUGUACCCGGAUACUGGAUGAACUGGAGCGAAUGCACGAGUUGCACUGUCAGGAACCGCUUCCCAUGGUAUUUUUGCCUGGUGUCCUCAUGAUAAUGAUCAGCUUGAUGGCCUACUCCAAACAUAUGGUUGGCUUCAUGGAACUCUGGUCGAAAUCUACGAAUUAUCCCGACACGCCAGAGAAUUCUUGUAGUUUUUCACACUCAAUCGAGUAUUACCAUUAUUCGUCAAACAUGAGAGAUUCACGAACAAUUAUUAAUCGUUUCGAAAUUGUGCUUUAUGUAUUUCAAUGUAUGUUUAUGACUAUUAUGUGGUUCUCGAGACACGGAAGUGGCUUAUCGAUGGUGAGUAGAAAGGAGAGUGUUGGCAGUAGGCUCUACUUUGCAAUAUCAGUAUAUAUGAAAAUUGCCUCCGUGAUUUUCAUGCUAUACCCAUGUUUUAUUUUUCUUCCGGACUCUGACGAGUCUAAAAAGGUUGAUGAAGGAUGGCGUCUGCAGGUCAUAAUUUGGAUUCGGUUCGCCACGGUGCUUCCUGCUGUAUACAUGUCCCUUCGAAUCGAAUUGAAUGCAUGUCUGUCAUUAUUGCUCGACAGAGAUGUCGUAGUUUGUAUGGAUAGUUUCUUCGACCUCGCCAUUGACCGUUACAUACCAGCGUAUGUCGCAGAAGCCUCGACUGACAUGAAAGCGGAAUCUAAGGGGUGGUGUCAUCGGCUUGUUUUAGUCACAUUGGCUGUUUUUCCAUUGUUGUCCACGCCACUGAUGACUGCUCCUUACGUCUACCUCUGGCUUGAAAUCAACGGACGGUUACAGUCAUAUGUAUCUGUUGGUGAUAUUCUAAUCGGCAUGCUAUUGCUAUUGUUUUUUACCACAUUUUCUACUUGGCGAAUGCCGCUACGCCUGUUGUUUGCAAUGCUAAUAACUGCGAUGUUUUCAAUAGAAAUUUCAGCUGACAGUGUUUUAUGGGUCAAAUAUAUUUUCGCCAUUAUCAGCAUUUCAUGUGUAAUAUUAGCUUGUCGUAACAUCUAUACUUAUUUAAGAAACAUGAGACUAUCCAUAUUGUUUCAAAUAUCUUUAUUACCCGAGUGUCUCACGCAAGUGAUUCACGGCGUUGUCAUCAGUACUUUUAUGAUAGUAUGUAGCUUUCUUGUGUCAAGAUGUUUCCAUGUGCUUUCGGGAUUCGUCUUGGCCUGUGAAUUUGCAAACAUUGACCCAGUCAAGUUUCUUCCACUUAUAACACAAAUUGUGCUGGUUCUGUCAUUAACAACCUAUAUGUUCGCAGCUGGAAUAUCGUUGAGGUCAAAAUCAGUCAGACAGUACAUUGUAAAUAAUGAUAAACUUGGAUGGGUAUGUAUUCUCCUUGUAGUUUUUUUUUCUACUUAAGUAAUACGCACUGGCGUGACAUUUAAAUGCUGAAACCAAAGGUCGCACGCUGGAGUGUGAAUUCGGCUUAACGCGGGGAGUAAUCUUGUUCGUCGUCAAGCUUAGCUGAAUUUAAGUCAAUUUGUAUUCUAAAAUGCCUCUUCAUCUAAUAGCAUUGAAUAAAUGAGUGCUGUACAUGUGA
This is a long non-coding RNA of Lineus longissimus, 2963 nucleotides long. RefSeq lists it as uncharacterized. NCBI's taxonomy places the organism in Eukaryota, Metazoa, Nemertea, Pilidiophora, Heteronemertea, Lineidae. The record is from RefSeq and is a predicted model, not a curated record. The transcript is spliced from 3 exons.